Molecule: ribosomal RNA, 484 nt
Filed under: uncultured bacterium
Lineage: Bacteria
Description: partial 16S ribosomal RNA
Rfam family: Bacterial small subunit ribosomal RNA
Source: RNAcentral
AUUGAACGCUGGCGGCAGGCCUAACACAUGCAAGUCGAGCGGAUGAAGGGAGCUUGCUCCUGGAUUCAGCGGCGGACGGGUGAGUAAUGCCUAGGAAUCUGCCUGGUAGUGGGGGAUAACGUCCGGAAACGGGCGCUAAUACCGCAUACGUCCUGAGGGAGAAAGUGGGGGAUCUUCGGACCUCACGCUAUCAGAUGAGCCUAGGUCGGAUUAGCUAGUUGGUGGGGUAAAGGCCUACCAAGGCGACGAUCCGUAACUGGUCUGAGAGGAUGAUCAGUCACACUGGAACGUAGACAAGGUCCAGAGUCCUACGGGAGGCAGCAGUGGGGAAUAUUGAACAAUGGGCGAAAGCCUGAUCCAGCCAUGCCGCGUGAGCGAGGAAGGUCUUCGGAUUGUAUAGCACUUUAAGUUGGGAGGAAGAGCAGUAAGCGAAUACCUUGCUGUUUUCAGGUUACCAACAGAAUAAGCACCGGCUAACUUCGUG